Long non-coding RNA from Episyrphus balteatus (marmalade hoverfly), 525 nucleotides. RefSeq lists it as uncharacterized. The record is from RefSeq and is a predicted model, not a curated record. The transcript is spliced from 3 exons. NCBI's taxonomy places the organism in Eukaryota, Metazoa, Arthropoda, Insecta, Diptera, Syrphidae.
CCACGUUGCCACCACCACGCUGCCGCCACAUAUUGUCUGCCUCCGGUGUCGUUGUCGUCAUUUGCCACACCACGUUCCUUCCAGCCACCACGUUGUUCCCGCCAGCCACCACCAUCAUCACGCUAAAAUAAUUCCUGUGCCAUCACGUUGCCACCACCACGCUGCCGCCACAUCCGCCACAUUAUUGUCUGCCUCCGCUGUCGUCGUCAUUUGCCACACCACAUUCUAUCCAGCCACCACGUUGCUCCCGCCAGCCGCCACCAAUCUUGCUAAAAUAAUUCCUGACUGUAAAGAUGCGGCAUUACUUUGGGCUCUGCAUGGAUACUUUGUACCUUUCCAAAAAGUUAUAAAAAAAGACACAGAUGGUAGGAAACACGUUAUACGACAUACCAUCAAGGACUCGCAGUAUUCAUUCGUUUGGAUAGGCAACACAAUUCAAGCUUAAGAAGACCAUAUUGCCUUCCUCAACAAAAUGGGUGAGAAUACCCACCCACCAAAUAAAAAAUGUAUGUAUGUACAAAUGCU